Molecule: small RNA, 150 nt
Filed under: Vibrio cholerae O1 biovar El Tor str. N16961
Lineage: Bacteria; Pseudomonadati; Pseudomonadota; Gammaproteobacteria; Vibrionales; Vibrionaceae
Source: RNAcentral
UUCAUCGAGUUUACGUAGAGUAUCGAUGUUGCGAUCUAGAAUAGUGACAUCGGCACGUAGGCCAAUAGCCAUACGGGCUGCGUUAGCGCCGACUACACCGCCGCCGAGUACUACGACUUUUGCAGGAGCAACACCGGGAACGCCACCGAG